RNA transcript from Pteropus alecto (black flying fox), 3049 nucleotides. RefSeq lists it as uncharacterized. The record is from RefSeq and is a predicted model, not a curated record. Lineage: Eukaryota; Metazoa; Chordata; Mammalia; Chiroptera; Pteropodidae. The transcript is spliced from 4 exons.
GACGGUCUCCUCUCUCUCUCCGCAGGACGGCCGUCCGCACUGUCGGCCUUGCCGGCCAUGAGUGGGAUGGCCGACGUGAACUCCGCCAGCCGCCCCCACUAUGCCUCGUCCAUCCCUGUGCCUCGAGCUGCCUCCCAGACCCGGAUCCACACCCCGGGCGCCUCUCCGCAGCUGUGGCCACGCCAGGCUGGCCUGGCCCCAAGCCCGCAGCGAGCAGCGUCCCCGAGACUGGGCAAGGCCACCGGCCCUCCCCGAGGCCCCUCGCCGAAGGCCUCCCGGGGGAGGGGCCCCCCCAGGGCCUCUGGGGGGGCGAAGGAGUCAGCCGAGGGUGCCGAUGGCCUCUGCAGCUCCCCGUGGAGCAGCCCCAGGGCCAGCCCCAAAGCAGCCCUGUCCAGCCCGGCGGGGCCCAGAAGAGGGGAGACACAGAGCCCCCAGGGCAGGAGGUCAGCCCGGGAGGCGAUUCCCGUCCUCCAGACCCGGAGCGGGAGCCCGUCCGGGCCGCUCUCCAGACCGCGUGGAGAAGCCCAGACGCCAGGGCUUCCCGAAGGAGCUGAGCCGCCCAGCUGCCCGGGAGGGGACCGAAGAGACAAAACCUGCGGGAGCCCCGGGGCACCCCGGCCUUUGGAGCCUGAGGCCGGGGCAGCCCGCGGCCAGGUGCAGAGCAGGCGCCCCGCCCCCGCCCUGGGGACCGUCAGCUUCUCCUCCGCACAUCAGCAGAGCCAGCCGGUCACCGCCACGGUGGCCCCCUUCCAGUACCGGUUGCGGACAGACCAGGAGCCCGGCCCCCUCCCCCAGGGUGGCUGGGCUGCGGAUGGCUACUCCAGCCGCCCCUGUGGGACCGAGGACAGCUUCUCCGGUGCAGGGCUCAGGCUGUGGGGGCUGCUGGGGCCAUGACAGGAAGAUGCAGCUAGGAGACUGACAGCCCAGAGCCAGGCUCCGAGCAAAGCCCGACCAGCCCGGGAGGUGCCGGGCGCCAGGCCACGGUCCGGAGCCAGCUGCUCCUCUCUCAGACCGGCUUUAACGGGCCUCUCCCCGCGGGUCACCGUCCCUGUGGCAUGCUGCGUCACAGCGUUUCACCUGAUGUGAGUGGUGCUGUUAGCUGAGCCUCAGGGACCAGAAUGUGAGACUUCCCAAGAACAGCCACUUCUCCAAGGGCAGGGCCACUGCCCGUCCCCAGGCCAGUCUCUGGCCCUGGCAGCCACUCAAACUAUCCGGAGGACAGCUGUGACCCACAUGGAAGCUCCGUGAGACUCCACGCUGCAGGGAGCAGCUCUGUCCUCUGGCUUCCCAGACAAAGGGACGUUUGUCCCAGGAAAGAGACAAACUUGCUUUUGGCAAACCCAAGAUUGUCAUAGCGUCAGCUCCGUGCCCUGCUCCGGUGGGCAGAGCUGGGUGCAGAGACAGCCUCUCCCAGACGUCACCAGGCACUGGUGGCACGCCAUCCCUGCCUGCCUUGUCCUCUGCUGGGCAGGUGGUCGCGUGUCCCUCUCGGCCUGGGACUGGGUCCUUCUGAACCGUCUUCAGGCCUGGUCUCCAGCAGUGACGUGGAGCCUCUGGGCCCUGAAAACAGCAGCCACACUCAUUGUUGCCCGAUGAGCCUCGGGGCGAGGCCUGUGGGGUGGAGACAGCCUGGAACAGGACACCCCGCCUCCCACAAUAAGCACAUGCGCGGGGCCCGGGGCACAGCUGGGCACAAAAGGAAACCAAAUUUUACUGGCACCGAAAGGCCGUGGGGAUCAGAGCGCGGUCACCGGGGUCUGCGUCUCUGUCUUUACAUCCGCAGUUUGUCAGUGCGAUAGCUCCCUCGUUUGCGUGCCACGUGGCAGGCGCCGGGGACGGCCACCUCGCCGGGCUCACACUCGGCACCGCCAUGCCCGCCGAGGCCGCGUCUGGUGUCUGCGCAGGCGCGCUUGGUGGUCCCCAGGCUCAUCAGCUGGAGGAGCAGGCCCGCCAGCUCAACAUGGGUGUGGGGGUCACCCUGUGGGGCGGCGUGCCAGGACCCUGGGGUGGCGGGCUUCCUUAGGUCUCCUGGGGACGGGGCAGGGGGAAGGUCCGCAGCACAGCCUGUGCUCUGGCACUGGCCGGCCGUCAUGGUGACCCAUCAUGGCCAGGGAUAUGCCCGAUUCUGCUAGGCGGGGUGGGGAGAUUUGGGAUCUGCUUCAUAGGGGAGCCUGAACCCCUCUGAGCUUGAGAGAAAGGACAGUGAAGGCUCCUGUCCGGGCCGUGCUGCACGCCCCACCCCCCGCCCCGCACCGAACUUCAGCCUGGGCAUGACACGACCCAUUCGUUCGUUCAUUCGGUCGGUCAGUCAGUCAGUCAAUCAACAAACCAGCAGUGGGCACUUGCCUUGUGCCAACACCACACUUGACGCUGGGGUGAAAGGUGAGACUUUGACCUGCCUUCAAGGACUUAUCGUCGGGGACCAUCCAGUGCGCCUGCCCUAGAGCCCGUUGGCCUCCCAGAAAGCCGCCCGGCGCCCGCCCUUGUCAGAGCUGACCAGGCUUGUCCCCGGGCCGUGGGAAGGGCACUGUGUGUCACAGACGGGCGUCGAUGUGCCGCGCGGACCAGGCACGGCUGUCUCCCAGCUGCUGGCCGUGCCGUUUCCACGUUGGUUCGUGGGUGAUGCGGGCAGUGAACUCCCAUCGUCCCUGUCCCCUAGCACAGCCCCCAAUCAGCGCUGGUGACAUAGUGCGCCGAGUGAGCAAGGGGCGGAGGCCGUGGCUGUCCCCCAGAGGACAGUCCCCCGGGGGACCGCGCCUCGCUCUGCUAGCUCAGGAGGGGACCCGCCUUGCUCUGCCCUCUCCCCAGCGUGGUCCCUGAGGCCCAGAGUCCCUGGCGGAGCGGGGGAGGCCCCACCGCUUUCCACUGACUGCCAGGGGGCAGAGUCCAGUGAGGCGGGGUCACUGUGCUGCUGGAGGAGACUGUCCCCUGGCGACUUGCCAACAAGCAGGGGCGUUGGCCUUCGAUGUCCCCAGGGUGUCUAGAACCAGCUGCUGCUCCGCUGGCCCCCCUGCUGUGCUGCUCCCUCCUGCCAGCGCUGCACCCCCCU